GACGAACGCUGGCGGCGUGCUUAACACAUGCAAGUCGAACGGAAAGGCCCUGCUUUUGUGGGGUGCUCGAGUGGCGAACGGGUGAGUAACACGUGAGUAACCUGCCCUUGACUUUGGGAUAACUUCAGGAAACUGGGGCUAAUACCGGUUAGGAGCUCCUGCUGCAUGGUGGGGGUUGGAAAGUUUCGGCGGUUGGGGAUGGACUCGCGGCUUAUCAGCUUGUUGGUGGGGUAGUGGCUUACCAAGGCUUUGACGGGUAGCCGGCCUGAGAGGGUGACCGGCCAAAUUGGGACUGAGAUACGGCCCAGACUCCUACGGGAGGCAGCAGUGGGGAAUAUUGCACAAUGGGCGGAAGCCUGAUGCAGCAACGCCGCGUGCGGGAUGACGGCCUUCGGGUUGUAAACCGCUUUCGCCUGUGACGAAGCGUGAGUGACGGUAAUGGGUAAAGAAGCACCGGCUAACUACGUG
This 468-nucleotide ribosomal RNA is filed under the name uncultured bacterium. RNAcentral's name for it is "partial 16S ribosomal RNA". It matches the Rfam family "Bacterial small subunit ribosomal RNA", at positions 28 to 507 of the family's 1533-position model. The record is from RNAcentral.